Molecule: unclassified non-coding RNA, 299 nt
Filed under: Hevea brasiliensis (rubber tree)
Lineage: Eukaryota; Viridiplantae; Streptophyta; Magnoliopsida; Malpighiales; Euphorbiaceae
Source: RNAcentral
CCCCUCUCUCUUUUCUUUCUCCUUCUUGUCCUUUUUAUGCUUUUUCUCCUUGUGCUUCUCCUUUUUUAGCAACUCUGUAUCCUCAAUUCUAGCCUUCUUUUCAUAUCCUGGAGGCGGAAAUGGAAAGCACCGAGACAUUGCACGUGAUCCUUGAACUGGCAAAGUGGGAUCGAUCCACAGUACAAAAGGCUUCUCCUACAAUACCGUACUGUUGUUCCAACACGGGAACAUACCAGAAACUAUGCUCUUGUCCAUGCACCAUGUCCUUGCACUCAUUUCCAGCCUAAAAAUCAAUCCAU